GUGGGGAAUAUUCCGCAAUGGACGAAAGUCUGACGGAGCAACGCCGCGUGAGUGAUGAAGGUUUUCGGACUGUAAAGCUCUGUUGUUUAGGACGAAAGUGCCUGUUGCAAAUAGUUACAGGUAUUGACGGUACUGAACGAGGAAGCCACGGCUAACUACGUGCCAGCAGCCGCGGUAAUACGUAGGUGGCAAGCGUUGUCCGGAAUUAUUGGGCGUAAAGAGCAUGUAGGCGGAGAUUUAAGUCUGUUGUGAAAAUGCGGGGCUCAACCCCGUAUUGCGAUGGAAACUGAAUUUCUUGAGUGCAGGAGAGGAAAGGGGAAUUCCCAGUGUAGCGGUGAAAUGCGUAGAUAUUGGGAGGAACACCAGUGGCGAAGGCGCCUUUCUGGACUGUGUCUGACGCUGAGAUGCGAAAGCCAGGGUAGCGAACGGGAUUAGAUACCCCUGUAGUCC
Molecule: ribosomal RNA, 450 nt
Filed under: uncultured bacterium
Lineage: Bacteria
Description: partial 16S ribosomal RNA
Rfam family: Bacterial small subunit ribosomal RNA
Source: RNAcentral